ACGGUUGGCCCAUCUCCGACUGCACCGCAGAAGGACUGAAAGCUUCUCUUUUGCUAUCCAAAGUUCCCAAGGAGAUUGUUGGUGAACCAGUAGAUGCAAAACGGUUAUAUGAUGCUGUUAAUGUUAUCAUUUCGUUACAGAAUCCAGAUGGAGGCCUCGCAACAUAUGAGCUCACCAGAUCAUACCCUUGGUUGGAGCUAAUCAACCCAGCAGAAACCUUUGGCGAUAUUGUUAUUGAUUAUCCUUACGUGGAAUGUACGUCAGCUGCCAUCCAAGCUUUGAUAUCAUUCCGAAAGCUGUAUCCUGGUCAUCGGAAGAAGGAAGUAGAUGAGUGCAUUGAGAAGGCAG
This is a non-coding RNA of Camelina sativa (false flax), 348 nucleotides long. The record is from RefSeq and is a predicted model, not a curated record. NCBI's taxonomy places the organism in Eukaryota, Viridiplantae, Streptophyta, Magnoliopsida, Brassicales, Brassicaceae.